This 83-nucleotide transfer RNA is filed under the name Bdellovibrio sp. CG10_big_fil_rev_8_21_14_0_10_47_8. Its description in RNAcentral is "tRNA-Leu". It matches the Rfam family "tRNA". Rfam says of the family: Transfer RNA (tRNA) molecules are approximately 80 nucleotides in length. Their secondary structure includes four short double-helical elements and three loops (D, anti-codon, and T loops). Further hydrogen bonds mediate the characteristic L-shaped molecular structure. tRNAs have two regions of fundamental functional importance: the anti-codon, which is responsible for specific mRNA codon recognition, and the 3' end, to which the tRNAs corresponding amino acid is attached (by aminoacyl-tRNA synthetases). tRNAs cope with the degeneracy of the genetic code in two manners: having more than one tRNA (with a specific anti-codon) for a particular amino acid; and 'wobble' base-pairing, i.e. permitting non-standard base-pairing at the 3rd anti-codon position. The record is from RNAcentral. Lineage: Bacteria; Pseudomonadati; Bdellovibrionota; Bdellovibrionia; Bdellovibrionales; Pseudobdellovibrionaceae.
GUCCAGGUGGUGUAAUGGUAGCCACGCCAGUUUGAGGGACUGGUGGCCGAAAGGUCGUGCGGGUUCGACUCCCGCCUUGGACA